UACAACUGACUAGGUAUCCCCCUUUACAACUGACUAGGUAUCCCCCUUUACAACUGACUAGGUAUCCCCCUUUACAACUGACUAGGUAUCCCCCUUUACAACUGACUAGGUAUCCCCCUUUACAACUGACUAGGUAUCCCCCUUUACAACUGACUAGGUAUCCCCCUUUACAACUGACUAGGUAUCCCCCUUUACAACUGACUAGGUAUCCCCCUUUACAACUGACUAGGUAUCCCCCUUUACAACUGACUAGGUAUCCCCCUUUACAACUGACUAGGUAUCCCCCUUUACAACUGACUAGGUAUCCCCCUUUACAACUGACUAGGUAUCCCCCUUUACAACUGACUAGGUAUCCCCCUUUACAACUGACUAGGUAUCCCCCUUUACAACUGACUAGGUAUCCCCCUUUACAACUGACUAGGUAUCCCAUUACAACUGACUUGGUAUACCCCUUUACAACUGAUUAGUUAUCCCCCUAUACAACUGACUAGGUAUCCCCCUUUCCCUAUACAACUGAUUAGUUAU
Oncorhynchus keta (chum salmon) is the source of this 525-nucleotide long non-coding RNA. RefSeq lists it as uncharacterized. Lineage: Eukaryota; Metazoa; Chordata; Actinopteri; Salmoniformes; Salmonidae. The transcript has 4 exons. The record is from RefSeq and is a predicted model, not a curated record.